GAGGCAUGUGAGGGCUGUCGCUGACUUUUUAACGCAAAAGGUCGUGCACGCCCGGAGCGUGUCCUCUCGCAUAAAAUCCAUCUCACCCUUUUGUGCACCACCGCGUGGGCACCCUUUGGGAUCAAACCGAUCCAGGAGGGCGCUUGCGUUUUCACACAAACCCCCUUUUAAAAGUGUAGAAUGACCCCAUUUUUGCGAUAACACGCAAUCAAAUACAACUUUCAACAACGGAUCUCUUGGCUCUCGCAUCGAUGAAGAACGCAGCGAAAUGCGAUACGUAAUGUGAAUUGCAGAAUUCAGUGAAUCAUCGAAUCUUUGAACGCACCUUGCGCCCCUUGGUAUUCCGAGGGGCACACCCGUUUGAGUGUCGUGAAAAUCUCAACCUCCUCGGUUUCUUCUGGACGCCGAGGGAGGCUUGGACUUUGGAGGCCUUUGCUGGCGUCUCUCGCCAGCUCCUCUCAAAUGAAUUAGCGGGGUCCUCUUUGCCGAUCCUCGACGUGUGAUAAGAUGUUUCCAUGUCUUGGUUUCUGGCUCUGUCGCCUUUGGGACCCGCUUCUAACCGUCUCAAGUCGAGACAACGUUUGAGCGUGUCUCCCUUCUCGGGAAACACCCUCGAGCCCACGAACCCUUGACCUCAAAUCGGGUGAGACUACCCGCUGAACUUAAGCAUAUCAAU
Molecule: ribosomal RNA, 676 nt
Filed under: Lactarius sp. NA12_P31_G15
Lineage: Eukaryota; Fungi; Basidiomycota; Agaricomycetes; Russulales; Russulaceae
Description: eukaryotic LSU rRNA
Rfam family: 5.8S ribosomal RNA (bases 217-370)
Source: RNAcentral